UAAACGGGUUAUUGUGGCCCGGUGCUGUGUGUGGUACCUGGGGAUCGGCUCCAGAGGGGUUGGCAAACAGCAACUAAAGACUUAGUCUUGGCGAGGAGAAAUCCAGGGUAGCUCCCAUCUGAGUACGUCGCAAGCCAACGCGCCAAUCCGGAGAAUGGGGUGAAACUCCUCUGAAAUCCGGUGUUGCUUCAUUCCACACGAAGCACAAACAAACUGAAACACUUCAGAGGUUGUUGAUCUGAAGGCACAUUAAGUUUGA
RNAcentral lists this ribozyme (259 nucleotides) under unclassified sequences. Its description in RNAcentral is "Hairpin ribozyme 2 from viruses-like metatranscriptomes". It matches the Rfam family "Hairpin ribozyme 2 from viruses-like metatranscriptomes". The record is from Rfam by way of RNAcentral.